Molecule: ribosomal RNA, 617 nt
Filed under: uncultured bacterium
Lineage: Bacteria
Description: bacterial SSU rRNA
Rfam family: Bacterial small subunit ribosomal RNA
Source: RNAcentral
CCUACGGGAGGCAGCAGUGGGGAAUUUUGGACAAUGGGCGAAAGCCUGAUCCAGCCAUUCCGCGUGCAGGAUGAAGGCCCUCGGGUUGUAAACUGCUUUUGUACAGAACGAAAAGGUUUCUAUUAAUACUAGGAGCUCAUGACGGUACUGUAAGAAUAAGCACCGGCUAACUACGUGCCAGCAGCCGCGGUAAUACGUAGGGUGCAAGCGUUAAUCGGAAUUACUGGGCGUAAAGCGUGCGCAGGCGGUUAUAUAAGUCAGAUGUGAAAUCCCCGGGCUCAACCUGGGAACUGCAUUUGAGACUGUAUAGCUAGAGUACGGUAGAGGGGGAUGGAAUUCCGCGUGUAGCAGUGAAAUGCGUAGAUAUGCGGAGGAACACCGAUGGCGAAGGCAAUCCCCUGGACCUGUACUGACGCUCAUGCACGAAAGCGUGGGGAGCAAACAGGAUUAGAUACCCUGGUAGUCCACGCCCUAAACGAUGUCAACUGGUUGUUGGGUCUUAACUGACUCAGUAACGAAGCUAACGCGUGAAAGUUGACCGCCUGGGGAGUAACGGCCGCAAGGUUGAAACUUCAAAGGAAUUGACGGNNGAGAGNGCGAGACGACACGAGGAGGAG